Molecule: transfer RNA, 92 nt
Filed under: Desemzia incerta
Lineage: Bacteria; Bacillati; Bacillota; Bacilli; Lactobacillales; Carnobacteriaceae
Description: tRNA-Leu
Rfam family: tRNA
About the family: Transfer RNA (tRNA) molecules are approximately 80 nucleotides in length. Their secondary structure includes four short double-helical elements and three loops (D, anti-codon, and T loops).
Source: RNAcentral
GCCGGGGUGGCGGAACAGGUAGACGCACAGGACUUAAAAUCCUGCGGGUAGUGAUAUCCGUCUUAGCCGGUUCGAUUCCGCCCUCGGCACCA